UUGGCUGUCGAUACCAAAGUUGUCUCUUUUAGCUUCUAAGCUGAGCAGGGUCAGGCUUGGUUGGUACUUGAAUGGGAGACCUUCCAAGAAAACUCAAGGUGGUGAUCCAAC
RNAcentral lists this ribosomal RNA (111 nucleotides) under Chrysemys picta bellii (western painted turtle). The record is from RNAcentral. Lineage: Eukaryota; Metazoa; Chordata; Testudines; Emydidae.